CCUACGGGAGGCAGCAGUAGGGAAUCUUCCACAAUGGACGAAAGUCUGAUGGAGCAACGCCGCGUGAGUGAAGAAGGGUUUCGGCUCGUAAAACCCUGUUGGUAGAGAAGAAAGAUAGUGGUAGUAACUGUUCUUUUUUUGACGGUAAUUACCUAGAAAGUCACGGCUAACUACGUGCCAGCAGCCGCGGUAAUACGUAGGUGGCAAGCGUUGUCCGGAUUUAUUGGGCGUAAAGCGAGCGCAGGCGGUUUUUUAAAUCUGUUUUGAAA
This 269-nucleotide ribosomal RNA is filed under the name uncultured bacterium. RNAcentral's name for it is "partial 16S ribosomal RNA". It matches the Rfam family "Bacterial small subunit ribosomal RNA", at positions 338 to 599 of the family's 1533-position model. The record is from RNAcentral.